CCUCUCCAUCCUGCCGUCUCCUGACACCCCAUCCAAUCGUUCAGUCAUGAAGAUCUUCGCCUUCCUUACAGCUGUUCUCUUCUUCGUGCUGAUGGCUGCUCCAGCACUCGCCCGGCCAAAGACAUAUGGUGAAUGUUACCGUGCCCAUGGCAGCUGCCACCAUUCUUGCCCACACCAUACAAGGCAAAUUGGAGAGUGUGCACGUUAUGUACGUUGCUGCAAAUAAGGGAUAAUGCCACGGCUACUCACAGCGGAUUUCAGCGUUACUCCCAUGGCUUGAACCCUCAUAGACCCAGCUUAUUUCGCUCCACAAUCCCUUCUCCUGAUUUGCUGUGCUUUUGUGGUUUUAAAGGAGCUGAUUCUGUAUUGAGUUGUCCAUGUUAAUUAAAAAAGCAUGUAUUCCAGCA
Lacerta agilis (Sand lizard) is the source of this 407-nucleotide long non-coding RNA. RefSeq lists it as uncharacterized. Lineage: Eukaryota; Metazoa; Chordata; Lepidosauria; Squamata; Lacertidae. The record is from RefSeq and is a predicted model, not a curated record. The transcript is spliced from 3 exons.